Molecule: ribosomal RNA, 440 nt
Filed under: uncultured bacterium
Lineage: Bacteria
Description: partial 16S ribosomal RNA
Rfam family: Bacterial small subunit ribosomal RNA
Source: RNAcentral
CCUACGGGAGGCAGCAGUGGGGAAUAUUGCACAAUGGGCGAAAGCCUGAUGCAGCGACGCCGCGUGAGUGAAGAAGUAUUUCGGUAUGUAAAGUUCUAUCAGCAGGGAAGAAAAUGACGGUACCUGAUUAAGAAGACCCGGCUAACUACGUGCCAGCAGCCGCGGUAAUACGUAGGGGGCAAGCGUUAUCCGGAUUUACUGGGGGUAAAGGGGGCGUAGACGGCAGCGCAAGUCUGAAGUGAAAUGCCGGGGCUUAACCCCGGAACUGUUUUGGAAACUGUGCAGCUAGAGUGCAGGAGAGGUAAGUGGAAUUCCUAGUGUAGCGGUGAAAUGCGUAGAUAUUAGGAAGAACACCAGUGGCGAAGGCGGCUUACUGGACUGUAACUGACGUUGAGGCACGAAAGCGUGGGGAGCAAACAGGAUUAGAUACCCUUGUAGUC